UACAGAGGAUGCAAGCGUUAUCCGGAUUUACUGGGCGUAAAGCGCACGUAGGCGGCUCUUUAAGUCAGAGGUGAAAUCCCAAGGCUCAACCUUGGAACUGCCUUUGAUACUGGGGAUCUUGAGUCCGGGAGAGGUGAGUGGAACUGCGAGUGUAGAGGUGAAAUUCGUAGAUAUUCGCAAGAACACCAGUGGCGAAGGCGGCUCACUGGCCCGGUACUGACGCUGAGGUGCGAAAGCGUGGGGAGCAAACAGG
This 253-nucleotide ribosomal RNA is filed under the name uncultured bacterium. RNAcentral describes it as "partial 16S ribosomal RNA". It matches the Rfam family "Bacterial small subunit ribosomal RNA", at positions 524 to 776 of the family's 1533-position model. The record is from RNAcentral.